UACAGAGGUCUCAAGCGUUGUUCGGAUUCAUUGGGCGUAAAGGGUGCGUAGGCGGCGCGGUAAGUCGGGUGUGAAAUCUUCGGGCUUAACCCGAAAACUGCAUUGCGAACUGGUCUGGCUAGAGUGUGUGAGAGGGUAGUGGAAUUCCCGGUGUAGCGGUGAAAUGCGUAGAGAUCCGGAGGAACCCCAGAGGCGAAGGCGACGCCCUGGCUCGUACCUGACGCUCAGCCACGAAAGCAUGGGGAGCGAACGGG
This 254-nucleotide ribosomal RNA is filed under the name uncultured bacterium. RNAcentral describes it as "partial 16S ribosomal RNA". It matches the Rfam family "Bacterial small subunit ribosomal RNA", at positions 524 to 776 of the family's 1533-position model. The record is from RNAcentral.